RNAcentral lists this ribosomal RNA (643 nucleotides) under uncultured bacterium. Its description in RNAcentral is "bacterial SSU rRNA". It matches the Rfam family "Bacterial small subunit ribosomal RNA", at positions 202 to 842 of the family's 1533-position model. The record is from RNAcentral.
CAAAGGAGCGAUCCGGUGGCGGAUGGGCAUGCGGCGCAUUAGCUAGACGGCGGGGUGACGGCCCACCGUGGCGACGAUGCGUAGGGGUUCUGAGAGGAAGGCCCCCCACACUGGGACUGAGACACGGCCCAGACUCCUACGGGAGGCAGCAGUGAGGAAUAUUGGUCAAUGGGCGGAAGCCUGAACCAGCCAGGUCGCGUGAGGGAUUAAGGCCCUGCGGGUCGUAAACCUCUUUUGCCGGGGAGCAGUGGUCCGGACGCGUCCGGGCCGGGAGAGUACCCGGAGAAAAAGCAUCGGCUAACUCCGUGCCAGCAGCCGCGGUAAUACGGAGGAUGCGAGCGUUAUCCGGAUUUAUUGGGUUUAAAGGGUGCGUAGGCGGGCAUUUAAGCCGGCGGUCAAAUGUCGGGGCUCAACCCCGGCCUGCCGUCGGAACUGGGUGCCUUGAGUGGGCGAGAAGUAUGCGGAAUGCGUGGUGUAGCGGUGAAAUGCAUAGAUAUCACGCAGAACCCCGAUUGCGAAGGCAGCAUACCGGCGCCCUACUGACGCUGAGGCACGAAAGUGCGGGUAUCGAACAGGAUUAGAUACCCUGGUAGUCCGCACAGUAAACGAUGGAUGCUAUCUGUCCGGGCCGAAUGAGGCCUGG